Octopus sinensis (East Asian common octopus) is the source of this 108-nucleotide long non-coding RNA. RefSeq lists it as uncharacterized. The record is from RefSeq and is a predicted model, not a curated record. The transcript is spliced from 3 exons. Lineage: Eukaryota; Metazoa; Mollusca; Cephalopoda; Octopoda; Octopodidae.
GUGAGUGUGUGUGUGUGUGUAUGUGUGCGUGCAAUGAUAGCAAUCUGGUGGGAUGGUGAACAGUCAACGCUGAAAAGAAGAAUCAAACAGCGUUUCAACUCUGUGUGA